Molecule: ribosomal RNA, 837 nt
Filed under: uncultured organism
Description: bacterial SSU rRNA
Rfam family: Bacterial small subunit ribosomal RNA
Source: RNAcentral
CGUGCCAGCAGCCGCGGUAAUACGGAGGAUGCAAGCGUAUUCCGGAUUUAUUGGGUUUAAAGGGUGCGCAGGCGGUGGAACAAGUCAGUGGUGAAAGCCCGGGGCUUAACUUCGGGAUUGCCAUUGAAACUGUUUCACUUGAGUGUAGUUGAGGACGGCGGAAUGAGUUGUGUAGCGGUGAAAUGCAUAGAUAUAACUCAGAACACCAAUUGCGAAGGCAGCUGUCUAGACUACAACUGACGCUGAGGCACGAAAGCGUGGGUAGCGAACAGGAUUAGAUACCCUGGUAGUCCACGCUGUAAACGAUGAUCACUCGUUGUUGGCUACUUAGUAGUCAGUGACUAAGGGAAACCGAUAAGUGAUCCACCUGGGGAGUACGUCGGCAACGAUGAAACUCAAAGGAAUUGACGGGGGCCCGCACAAGCGGAGGAACAUGUGGUUUAAUUCGAUGAUACGCGAGGAACCUUACCUGGGCUUAAAUGCUGGCUGCAUUCACGCGAAAGCGUGAUUUCCUACGGGACCGCCAGCAAGGUGCUGCAUGGUUGUCGUCAGCUCGUGCCGUGAGGUGUCGGGUUAAGUCCCAUAACGAGCGCAACCCCUAUCGUUAGUUGCCAGCAUGUAAUGGUGGGGACUCUAACGAGACUGCCGGUGUAAACCGGAGGAAGGUGGGGAUGACGUCAAAUCAGCACGGCCCUUACGUCCAGGGCUACACACGUGUUACAAUGGCCGGUACAAAGAGCAGCCACCUGGCGACAGGGUGCUAAUCUCUAAAACCGGUCUCAGUUCGGAUCGAAGUCUGCAAUUCGACUUCGGAAGAUGAUUCGCUAGUAAUCGCGC